UACGGAGGGUGCAAGCGUUGUUCGGAUUUACUGGGCGUAAAGAGCGUGUAGGCGGCCAGGUAGGUCUGCUGUGAAAACUCGAGGCUCAACCUCGAGACGUCGGCGGAAACCAUCUGGCUAGAGUCCGGAAGAGGAGAGUGGAAUUCCUGGUGUAGCGGUGAAAUGCGCAGAUAUCAGGAGGAACACCGGUGGCGAAGGCGGGACUCUGGGCCGAUACUGACGCUGAGGAGCGAAAGCGUGGGGAGCGAACAGG
This 253-nucleotide ribosomal RNA is filed under the name uncultured bacterium. RNAcentral describes it as "partial 16S ribosomal RNA". It matches the Rfam family "Bacterial small subunit ribosomal RNA", at positions 524 to 776 of the family's 1533-position model. The record is from RNAcentral.